AUGAACGCUGGCGGCGUGCCUAAUACCUGCAAGUCGAGCGAACAGACGAGGAGCUUGCUCCUCUGACGUUAGCGGCGGACGGGUGAGUAGCACGUGGAUAACCUACCUAUAAGACUGGGAUAACUUCGGGAAACCGGAGCUAAUACCGGAUAAUAUAUUGAACCGCAUGGUUCAAUAGUGAAAGACGGUUUUGCUGUCACUUAUAGAUGGAUCCGCGCCGCAUUAGCUAGUUGGUAAGGUAACGGCUUACCAAGGCAACGAUGCGUAGCCGACCUGAGAGGGUGAUCGGCCACCUUGGAACUGGGACACGGUCCAGACUCCUACGGGAGGCAGCAGUAGGGAAUCUUCCGCAAUGGGCGAAAGCCUGACGGAGCAACGCCGCGUGAGUGAUGAAGGUCUUCGGAUCGUAAAACUCUGUUAUUAGGGAAGAACAAAUGUGUAAGUAACUAUGCACGUCUUGACGGUACCUAAUCAGAAAGCCACGGCUAACUACGUG
RNAcentral lists this ribosomal RNA (496 nucleotides) under uncultured bacterium. RNAcentral describes it as "partial 16S ribosomal RNA". It matches the Rfam family "Bacterial small subunit ribosomal RNA", at positions 29 to 507 of the family's 1533-position model. The record is from RNAcentral.